AAUGAACGCUGGCGGCGUGGUUAAGACAUGCAAGUCGAACGGUUUUUAUUGAAGCGCAAGUGGAUAUAAAAGCAGUGGCGAACGGGUGCGUAACACGUGAACAAUCUACCUUCAAAUGGGGAAUAGCUCGCCGAAAGGCGAAUUAAUACCGCAUGUGGUUGCUUCUCGCAUGAGAGGCAUACCAAAGUCAGGGACCGCAAGGCCUGACGUUAGAAGAGGAGUUCGCGGCCUAUCAGCUAGUUGGCGAGGUAACGGCUCACCAAGGCUAAGACGGGUAGCUGGUCUGAGAGGAUGAUCAGCCACACUGGCACUGCGACACGGGCCAGACUCCUACGGGAGGCAGCAGUAAGGAAUAUUGCGCAAUGGGCGAAAGCCUGACGCAGCGACGCCGCGUGGGGGAUGAAGGUCUUCGGAUUGUAAACCCCUUUCGGGAGGGAAGAUGGAGCGAGCAAUCGUUCGGACGGUACCUCCAGAAGCAGCCACGGCCAACUUCG
RNAcentral lists this ribosomal RNA (494 nucleotides) under uncultured bacterium. RNAcentral's name for it is "bacterial SSU rRNA". It matches the Rfam family "Bacterial small subunit ribosomal RNA", at positions 29 to 505 of the family's 1533-position model. The record is from RNAcentral.